RNAcentral lists this ribosomal RNA (403 nucleotides) under uncultured bacterium. RNAcentral describes it as "partial 16S ribosomal RNA". It matches the Rfam family "Bacterial small subunit ribosomal RNA", at positions 29 to 526 of the family's 1533-position model. The record is from RNAcentral.
AUUGAACGCUGGCGGCAGGCCUAACACAUGCAAGUCGAGCGAGCGGCGGACGGGUGAGUACUGUAUGGGGACUGCACGCGAGAGGGGGAUAAAUACUGGAAACGGUGGCUAAUACCGCAUACUAUCGGAUAACCCAUAUGGGAUUAGCGAGUAGGUGGGGGAAAGGCUCACCUAGGCGACGAUCUCGAGCUGGUCUGAGAGGAUGAUCAGCCACACUGGGACUGAGACACGGCCCAGAGUCCUACGGAGGCAGCAGUGGGGAAUAUUGCACAAUGGGCGCAAUCCGGAUGCAGCCAUGCCGCGUGUAUGAAGAAGGCCUUAGGGUUGUAAAGUACUUGCAGCCGGGAGGCGUUACCCGCAGAAGAAGCACCGGCUAACUCCGUGCCAGCAGCCGCGGUAAUAC